RNAcentral lists this transfer RNA (69 nucleotides) under Doryrhamphus japonicus. Its description in RNAcentral is "tRNA-Met". It matches the Rfam family "tRNA". Rfam says of the family: Transfer RNA (tRNA) molecules are approximately 80 nucleotides in length. Their secondary structure includes four short double-helical elements and three loops (D, anti-codon, and T loops). Further hydrogen bonds mediate the characteristic L-shaped molecular structure. tRNAs have two regions of fundamental functional importance: the anti-codon, which is responsible for specific mRNA codon recognition, and the 3' end, to which the tRNAs corresponding amino acid is attached (by aminoacyl-tRNA synthetases). tRNAs cope with the degeneracy of the genetic code in two manners: having more than one tRNA (with a specific anti-codon) for a particular amino acid; and 'wobble' base-pairing, i.e. permitting non-standard base-pairing at the 3rd anti-codon position. Lineage: Eukaryota; Metazoa; Chordata; Actinopteri; Syngnathiformes; Syngnathidae. The record is from RNAcentral.
AGUAAAGUCAGCUAAUCAAGCUUUUGGGCCCAUACCCCAAAAAUGUGGGUUGAAAUCCCCCCUUUACUA